CUUGGACACGUGUCAAACGAUGCUAUCAUCAACCUUAAGAUUUUUUUAACACUAUUUUGAAAAUGGUUGAAGGUGAGGCCAUCCCUAGUGAACGAGUGAGCCAAACCCUCGCGCCUAGCGUCGUAGAAGGGUGCCAAUGCUGGUGGGAUUUUCCUAAAUAUUUUUAAUUUAUUUUUGAUAGGCGAUGAUGGAUUAGAUCCUAGGAACUAUUUCGGGAUUUUUUAACGUCUUGUUUGUAUGUAUUAAUGUGUGUGUGUGUGUGUGUGUGUUUAUAUAUAGAGGAAUGAUGCAUGUGUUUGAUGAAAUUUCUCUGAAAUAAUUUACUUAACCUUGUUUUUUUGAGAACUCGUGCACGCACAUAUAUUUCUUUUCAACUGAGUUAUUGAUAUACAAUAUACACUUCAUGACUUCUCUUAGAUUCUCAGAGUUUGGGAACCCCCAUUUCUGAUAAGUCAGUUAUUGGACAUCCAAAACACGACACUACUUGGAUGGCUCUAUUAAUUAGUUAAACAUUAUGACAUCCAAGGGAUAUCCCUAAAAUCAUUUGCUUCAGGAAAAGGCAUUGCAGAUAUUUAUCUUUAGUGGCUUUAGUUGUUAUUUGACCGGAUCAAUCUUAUGUUUCUCUAUCCCUUGCUCAGUUGGUUUAUUCCCCUGCCUUCCUUUUUAUAUUACUUUAUGUUGUGAUUUGUUGUUCUGUAAGGGAGAAUGUAGGUGGGAUCAUUUUACUGUAUUUCAAGAUAAUUAUGGCUAUCAGUUUCUGGUUAAUCCCUCAUUGUUCCCUGUUCUCACAUGCUUGCAGAGUCAACCCCUUGGUGGUGGCUUUAUAUGUAGCUCUACAUGCGGCUGUUCCAUUUUUAAUGUUUGUGUUAUUGCCCAUUUCCGCUUUUUGUCAGUUAUUACUUUGACAUGUGUCAUUCCCGAUUCGUGUUUAAUGUGUGUGCACAUUAUAUUGUAUUUUCACAUGCAUGCUCUGAUCAUAAUAAUUUUCAGGAUCUGGACACAAUUUCAGAAUUGAAGGUUUAGGAUAAAAAGCCAUUGCUUGAGUGAUUUGCUUCAAUAAAUAGUACGCCUAAUAUUUUUCUAUUUCAUUUAAUGAUCCUUUCAUUACACACCCAUUCAACAUGUUUAAGUCAAGCUCCUUUGAGUGCUCCUAGAUUUCUUGUAAUUUCUUUUCCUUCUUUUUUUUGUUUUUAAUUUUCGGGAUUGAUUGGUUGGAGGCAUCAACAAAAUGAGAAAUUGAAUCAAAAGGCAACAACAUUUAGUCUACCCUUAAAAGAUCCUUUGCAGUGUUUUUAACAUUCAGCUAUUGGUAUGGUCUUUCUUUACCUUUUUAAUUAUUUUAAUUUUUUUUUUCCUUUUGGCUUUGUGAAAUACUUUUGUGUUUGCUUGUUAAAUUGUGUGAAGCUUAACAUGCUCUAUAUUGGGGUAGUGCUUACAUAUAUGGGGGUAGGAUUAAAUCAUAAAUCCACGAGAAGCAUGUCUAUUGUUUCUAAAUUAGCAACUAAAAAUCGUUCAGUAGUGAAUUAAGUUAGAGAACUUUUGUUGUCUAUAAAUUAUUCUGCUCUAUAGGCUGAAGAAGACAUUGAUGAAGUCUGUACACAAAUUAAUUUGAUGUCCGAAGCAGAUGUAAUUAUUUUAGGGAAUUUGGAAAACGAAACAAAUAAAGCUACAUGGGUUCAUUUUAUUCUGUGUUGAAGCUCAGAAAGCAGUUUUGGUCGUCGUUCUUUUGAUAUUUAACCUGAUCUCUUAAUGAUAAAAUACGAAAAUUAGGUUGUAAUCCGAAACUUUAAGCUUUAUUAUAAGUCGCUUUCAUAUUAUCUUCAUCCAAGUUCUCUCUAAAAAUUGGUAAUUUGGAUCAUGUUCAUUGUUCCAGGUGACCAAUGGCUCCUAAUCGUAGUAUUGUGAUCAUAUUGUUGACGUUAUAAGGAAAAUAUGAUAAGUUCACAAAUUUGGUCUCUGGUGGUUUGACAUCUUCAUAGGUAUUCUUUUACAAAUGCACCUCCUUAUAUGUCAAUAUUUCUGUUAUCUAAGAUUAGUACUCGUUUCUGGUUGCUUAAGUUGGUUUGUCAUACUAAGCUAUGUCAUAGAAAUGGACAUUAAUAUUUGGAUGAUGAUCACUUGAUGAAUAUUGAGCUACCAACGUGGUUAUAUGAUAAUAUAUAUGUUUUGCACAUGUAACUUUAUUUCAUGGAGUAUUAUUUUGGAGGAAGUACAUUAUUUCAGGUGACUUCCCUUUUUCUUUUUGACUGGAAGGUGCUGAGCUAUUUCUGGAAAGAUGGCCAUAUAAUUAGAGAAAGAAGAAAGAUGGAAAAGUAGUGAAGGAAGCUCAUGAAAGGCUCAACGUAUGUUUUGGAUGAUAUUUCUCUGCUUCAUGGACUUCAAUUUUACUGGUUGAAAUCUAAAAAAUUGCUCUAGCAGCUUGUUAUGAUCUCUUGAAUGGUACUCUUGUUUAUUAGGAUUUUAAUUUUUUAACACAAUGAAGUUAUAUGGUUGGUUAAAAUUGAAUAAUUGGAGUGAAUGGCAGCAUAAUCACGGCAGUGACAAAUCAAAGUUCUGGUUUGAGUAAUUAUUAUUUAAUCUAUGUUAUGUCUUAAGGUUGUGAUUUGAAAUGAAAGAAUGUUAAUGGAAUUCAUUUGUGUACUUUGCUUUCUCAUUGUACUCAUUCUUUUAUUUGAUUUCCUGCACAACACUUUGAUGAAAGUCGGCUUAAAAUAUUUGCAAUUCAAAGUAAAUUGAAAACGACACUUCUAACAUCAUCCAGUCCUACUUGUUUAAUUAUCUCUCGGUCAUUAGUUUUAUUUCCUUUUUUUAGUGAUAUCAUCACUUGUACACUUUUUGGUGGAGAUGGAGUGCAUCUAAAUCUUUGGGAAAAUUUUCAAAGUCAAAGCCUAAAGAUGAAGAUAAGGCCUUGGACGAGGAAGAAGACGAGGAACAUGGUGAGACUCUUUGUGGUGCUUGUGGAGAAGUGGUUCCAUGGUAUGUGAUUGAAGAUUGCACCAGCUAGAGCCAAGCAUAUCAAGCAGUACAAGUGUCCGUCGUGCAGUAACAAGAGGGCUCGUGCUUGAUGUGGAAUAUGAAUCAUACUAUCUGUACUCUUGAUAAAGUUCUCAUGUCUUGGUUGCUGAAGUCAUUUUUUGUUUGGUGCUACAAGUAAAAUUAACCUCGUAAAUGGUACUCUUGUUUAUAUACCGACUACUAAUACUCGAAAUAUGUGCAAUAUAGUUUUACUUCUGAAGCAAUAU
RNAcentral lists this long non-coding RNA (3242 nucleotides) under Olea europaea subsp. europaea. Lineage: Eukaryota; Viridiplantae; Streptophyta; Magnoliopsida; Lamiales; Oleaceae. The record is from RNAcentral.